AGGAUCUAUGAGAGGGCAAGUCUGGUGCCAGCAGCCGCGGUAAUUCCAGCUCUCAAAGUGUAUAUCGUCAUUGCUGCGGUUAAAAAGCUCGUAGUUGGAUCUGCGUCUCAGGACCUGGUCCAUCCAAUUGGAUGAGAACUGGGCUCCUAGGCUAAUAUUGCCAGUUUUUCAUAUGUUACCUUGAUUGGUUGCAUAUGGUAGCUAGCAAGUUUACCUUGAAAAAAUUAGAGUGCUCAAUGCGGGCUAAUGCCUGAAUACUCGUGCAUGGAAUAAUGAAAUAGGAUCUCGGUUCUAUUUUGUUGGUUUUCUGAUCUGAGAUAAUGGUUAAGAGGGACGGACGGGGGCAUUCGUAUCGCUACGUGAGAGGUGAAAUUCUUGGACCGUAGCGAGACGUACGACUGCGAAAGCAUUUGCCAAGAAUGUCUUCAUUAAUCAAGAACGAAAGUCAGAGGUUCGAAGGCGAUCAGAUACCGCC
RNAcentral lists this ribosomal RNA (475 nucleotides) under Chandlerella quiscali. RNAcentral describes it as "SSU rRNA". It matches the Rfam family "Eukaryotic small subunit ribosomal RNA", at positions 540 to 1019 of the family's 1831-position model. Lineage: Eukaryota; Metazoa; Nematoda; Chromadorea; Rhabditida; Onchocercidae. The record is from RNAcentral.